UAUAAGGGUGACACAUCCAAGUAGGCACAAAUACACUACAUUUUUGGCACAAACCAGUGUUCUUUUUGCUUAGAGAGCACAUAAAAAAUAGUUUUGUGUUCAAUGAUAAUCAACACGCACAUAUAUGUAUUGGUGCUCAUUGAAAAUGAAAAGGACACAGAUCAAUUGUGUUCUUAGCCCACUUUUCUUGUAGUGUGAAUUCUUAAGAACACAAUUUGCUAUGUAUCUUUAAUCUUGACAACAUCAGUGGAAACUUUCAAACUCUAAUUCUUUGUUGAUUAUUCAAAUUUGAAAAAUGAAGAAAAGAACGCAUGGCAAUGUGCAUAUAUAACCAUAAUAACAUUUCAAAUGACCGCACAACAUGGAGUCACAUUGAUACUGAUACAAUUACACUUUUGAGUUUUGAGGUUUGAAUUUUCUUUUUCUCCACUUUUCUACUGCUUUCAGUUUUCCAUGAGUUUUGGGUAUACAAUCUCACAAAGAAAAAGCCAAUUGGCAAGAAAGAGAUUUAAAGAUUGGUCUGUUGAGCACCCUUCCGUUGAUAGGAUACACGGGUCAAAAGGAAAACUUGAUUUCAGAGACGAAGUUGGUUCGCUCAAUGAAUUGUCGUGGUGCUGUGGGAAUCUCGACCUCCAUCUCCGUCCGUGCAAGAAAGCGACAUGAUAUGUUGAGGCAGGUGGGAAUUUCAACAACUCAAAGAAAAGGACCGCGCACCACCACACCACUUCCAACUCAAGGUCCGGUGGCAAUAUGCUAACUUCCUAGAAGCGAAGGGUAGUACUUUCCGCCAUUGGAAAACUGGUGGGUGCAUUCCAACAAGUCGUAUUCCACUUUUAGAGACUAGUAAAACUUUAAUAUCGAUCACAUCUGUUGUAGCAAAAACAAAUUGAUAACUUUCAAUAUGGGCUUUAACUCCGAUUGUGGAAUACAUUAGGUUUCUAUAAGCCCUCACUACAUUUUGGUACAAAAUUAAAACUUAAGAGCAAGUUUGAUAACCAAUCCGUUUUAAGUUUUUAAUUUUAUUUUUAAUUAUAUAGACUGAUGAAAAAUAUGUGAUCUGAAGAUCAAUCAAGAUAGGCGAAGGAUAGAUGGUGAAAGCAAUGUGAAUCGAUGUUCUAGAAAGUAGUCUAGACAGCUAGCCAGCACCACGAUUAAUUACUAAAUGGUUAGAAAAUCAAGUAUGGCAUCUACGUGGGUUUAGGCAGAAUAAGUGUUUGUUUUGUUUUUUUUAAUUAACUUUGAGUCUUGACUCACCCUUUCCCAGACAGAAAAAGGAAACCAAUAAUGCGAUGUGGUCGUCUCUUUUUGCGAUAGUUCUUUGAUGUUUUCAAUAAAUUGUAGUACUUUAUAUAAUUUAUUUAUAUUUAUAUUUUUCGUUUUAAGUUUCCCCAUUACAAUUAUAAUUUUUACUUAUUUAAUUUUUUUUAAAUAUAUAUAUGCACUUAGUUGUAUGUCAUAUAAUAAAUUUAAUUAAGAUAAAAAAAAAAC
This 1488-nucleotide long non-coding RNA is filed under the name Malus domestica (apple). Its description in RNAcentral is "long non-coding RNA (MDOM_LNC002446)". The record is from RNAcentral. Lineage: Eukaryota; Viridiplantae; Streptophyta; Magnoliopsida; Rosales; Rosaceae.